GAGACGACAAUGGUGGCGACGGUGUAGUAGCCGGAGCGAAGGGGGAAGGUGGGUAUGAUGGAGGGAUGGUGGAUGGAUAGGGUGAUAGGGAAGGUGGGGAAGGUGGGGAUGAAGAUGAUGGAGGUUGGGUGACAGGGGAAUUGGAAUUUGGAGUUGGGGCAUAGGGGUAGGGUGAUUGAGAUGUUGGGGAAGGAGUGUUUGGAGGUGACGGAAUGUAGGGAGGUUGGGAAAUGGGAGAAGGAGUGGUGGAUGGUGGUGUGGAAAUGUAAGAAGGUGGCUGGGAUAUUGGGGAAGGAGUGGUGGAUGGUGGUGUGGAAAUGUAAGGUGGCUGGGAUAUUGGGGAAGGAGUGGUGUUUGGAGGUGAUGGGAUGUAAGGAGGCUGAGAUAUUGGGGAAGGAGUGUUUGGAGGUGAUGGGGUGUAAGGAGGCUGGGAAGUAGGAGAAGGAGUAUUGGGUUGUGGAGGCACAUAAGGUGACUGAGAAAAGGGUGAUGGGGUUAUUGGAACAAAGGGUGGUUGAUGAUGAGGGGAAGGGGUGUUUGGAGGUAGAGGAGCAUGGGGUGGAUGGUUAUUAGGGGAAGGAGCAUAAGUGGGAGAAGGUGUGUUGGGAGGUAUGGGAGCAUAGGGUGGUUGAGCUUUGGGAGGAAAGGGAAGAUUAGUAGGAGGUGAAGGUGCUUCUGGAGGAGUAUAAACAGGGGGAGGAGUUUGAUGAGGUGGAUAAGGAGCUUUUGGAGGAGAAUAUGGAGGAGGCUCUCUCACAGCCAACACCACAAUAAUAAGUUUCUGACCCUUCUCACAAUUAUAAUCUUUUCCACUGAUGAAAUAAAAG
Molecule: long non-coding RNA, 827 nt
Filed under: Phaseolus vulgaris (common bean)
Lineage: Eukaryota; Viridiplantae; Streptophyta; Magnoliopsida; Fabales; Fabaceae
Description: long non-coding RNA (PVUL_LNC002969)
Source: RNAcentral